AAAACAACAACGUAGGGGGCAAGCGUUGUCCGGAAUUACUGGGCGUAAAGGGCGUGUAGGCGGCAAUGUAAGUCAGGAGUGAAACCCGUCGGCUUAACCGACGGCCUGCUUCUGAAACUGCAUAGCUUGAGUGCAGGAGAGGGAAGUGGAAUUCCCAGUGUAGCGGUGAAAUGCGUAGAUAUUGGGAGGAACACCAGUGGCGAAGGCGACCACCUGGCCAAAUACUGACGCUGAGGUGCGAAAGCGUGGGGAGCAAACAGG
This 261-nucleotide ribosomal RNA is filed under the name uncultured Peptococcaceae bacterium. RNAcentral describes it as "partial 16S ribosomal RNA". It matches the Rfam family "Bacterial small subunit ribosomal RNA", at positions 516 to 776 of the family's 1533-position model. The record is from RNAcentral. Lineage: Bacteria; Bacillati; Bacillota; Clostridia; Eubacteriales; Peptococcaceae.